This 492-nucleotide ribosomal RNA is filed under the name uncultured bacterium. RNAcentral describes it as "partial 16S ribosomal RNA". It matches the Rfam family "Bacterial small subunit ribosomal RNA", at positions 29 to 507 of the family's 1533-position model. The record is from RNAcentral.
AGUGAACGCUGGCGGUAGGCCUAACACAUGCCAGUCGAACGGCAGCACAGUAAGAGCUUGCUCUUACGGGUGGCGAGUGGCGGACGGGUGAGGAAUACAUCGGAAUCUACUUUUUCGUGGGGGAUAACGUAGGGAAACUUACGCUAAUACCGCAUACGACCUACGGGUGAAAGAAGGGGAUCUUCGGACCUUGCGCGAUUGAAUGAGCCGAUGUCGGAUUAGCUAGUUGGCGGGGUAAAGGCCCACCAAGGCGACGAUCCGUAGCUGGUCUGAGAGGAUGAGCAGCCACACUGGAACUGAGACACGGUCCAGACUCCUACGGGAGGCAGCAGUGGGGAAUAUUGGACAAUGGGCGCAAGCCUGAUCCAGCCAUACCGCGUGGGUGAAGAAGGCCUUCGGGUUGUAAAGCCCUUUUGUUGGGAAAGAAAAGCAGCAGGUUAAUACCCCGCUGUUCUGACGGUACCCAAAGAAUAAGCACCGGCUAACUUCGUG